Molecule: ribosomal RNA, 424 nt
Filed under: uncultured Glomeromycotina
Lineage: Eukaryota; Fungi; Glomeromycota
Description: SSU rRNA
Rfam family: Eukaryotic small subunit ribosomal RNA
Source: RNAcentral
CUGGUAUGUACUGGUCUCACUGAUUCCUCCUUCCUGAUGAGCCGUAAUGCCAUUUAUUUGGUGUUGCGGGGAAUUUGGACUGUUACUUUGAAAAAAUUAGAGUGUUUAAAGCAAGCUAACGCUUGAAUACAUUAGCAUGGAAUAAUGAAAUAGGACGUUCGAUCCUAUUUUGUUGGUUUCUAGGAUUGACGUAAUGAUUAAUAGGGAUAGUUGGGGGCAUUAGUAUUCAAUUGUCAGAGGUGAAAUUCUUGGAUUUAUUGAAGACUAACUACUGCGAAAGCAUUUGCCAAGGAUGUUUUCAUUAAUCAAGAACGAAAGUUAGGGGAUCGAAGACGAUCAGAUACCGUCGUAGUCUUAACCAUAAACUAUGCCGACUAGGGAUCGGAUGAUGUUAAUUUUUUAAUGACUCAUUCGGCGCCUUACG